AGGAUUCCCUUAGUAACGGCGAGUGAAGAGGGAGAAGCCCAGCACUGAAGCCUGCGGCAGUUUUGCUGUUAGGCAAUGUAGUGUUUGGGUCGGUUUGCGGGAUCGCCACUCCACUCGAAGUCCAGCAUUGAGUAUGGUCACUGGAUUUGGCCCAGAGAGGGUGAAAGGCCCGUCCGGGUGGAGGAUCAGAAAUGUAAGGCGAUUCACUAGGCCGGCCGUAGAGUCGGGUUGUUUGAGAAUGCAGCCCAAAGUGGGUGGUAAACUCCAUCCAAGGCUAAAUACAAGCGCGAGUCCGAUAGCGAACAAGUACCGUGAGGGAAAGUUGAAAAGUACUCUGAAGAGAGAGUAAACAGUACGUGAAACCGCAUGCAGGUAAACGGGUGGCGUCAAGCUGCGAGCCUGGAGGAUUCAGCCGGUUAGGAUGUUGUGUAUGCGCCUGGCGCAUCAAUCAGCCAGAGUAUGAUUGGGUAGUCCACCUGUAGAGGGUGGGCCCGGCCGCAAGGUUUGGGUAUGCGUACCGGGUGGGUGCCGGAGCAUGCUAUCCGUCUGUGGGCUGUCUAGCCGGUGCACUUUCUCUGUGGCUGACACCACGACCGGUGGAAUUGCCAGUCUGCUGUGUCCAAGUUGUAUCCUGUAGGUCAUCUGGCCAACGGGGUAUGAUGACAGGCAAAUUCAGUAUACGGCGUAGGGGUGUUUCGGCAACUCUGCGUGUUAUCGGCUACUGGUUGUCAACGGGUCGCCUAGCGUUUGUUGUAACCGGCGCUUGGGUGGCCCGGUGGGGCAUGGUGGUAAGAAAAACUGUGCAAGGCACCGGGUUUGGCGGCCUCAAAUGCGUCCCGCACCCACGUUACAAGUGGUGCACGGCAGUGCCGUUGGUGUCUGCUCGGUGUUGAGUCUGAUUGCCGUGUCGUCCACGAAAAGUGGGCCCGGUAGUGGCUCGACUCGAGAUGGGCAGUUGACGGUGUUGUUAGUGUGGGGCGCCGUGGGCCUGAUAGUCUGUGGUGUUGUGGUAGACGAGCUACCCGACCCGUCUUGAAACACGGACCAAGGAGUUUAACAUGUGUGCGAGUCAAUGGGCUUUACGAAACCCAAAGGCGCAGUGAAAGUGAAGCUCCGACUUGUCUCGGGGCGAGGUGAGAUCCCGCCGUUACUCGCAUCAGCCUAAUGCCAGCAUCAGGCAAAGAGCGGCGGGCGCAUCACCGGCCCGUCCCAUGAUGUGGUCAUUGGAUAUCUGCGGUUGUUGCUUCGGUGGCGGCCGUGGAGCCAGUGCAUCAUCGGGGCGGAGCAUGAGCAUACACGUUGAGAC
This 1306-nucleotide ribosomal RNA is filed under the name Acanthobothrium popi. RNAcentral describes it as "partial 28S ribosomal RNA". It matches the Rfam family "Eukaryotic large subunit ribosomal RNA", at positions 71 to 815 of the family's 3401-position model. Lineage: Eukaryota; Metazoa; Platyhelminthes; Cestoda; Tetraphyllidea; Onchobothriidae. The record is from RNAcentral.